GAUUAACGCUAGCGGCAGGCCUAAUACAUGCAAGUCGUACGGUAACAGGUCCAGCAAUGGAUGCUGACGAGUGGCGCACGGGUGCGUAACACGUAUGCAACCUACCUUUGACUGGGGGAUAGCCCCGAGAAAUCGGGAUUAAUACCCCAUACAAUUGCGAUGAGACAUCUCAAUGCAAUGAAAGCUCCGGCGGUCUUAGAUGGGCAUGCGCGACAUUAGCUAGUUGGUGAGGUAACGGCUCACCAAGGCUUCGAUGUCUAGGGGUUCUGAGAGGAUUCACCCCCACACUGGUACUGAGACACGGACCAGACUCCUACGGGAGGCUG
This 326-nucleotide ribosomal RNA is filed under the name uncultured Bacteroidota bacterium. RNAcentral describes it as "bacterial SSU rRNA". It matches the Rfam family "Bacterial small subunit ribosomal RNA", at positions 28 to 351 of the family's 1533-position model. The record is from RNAcentral. Lineage: Bacteria; Pseudomonadati; Bacteroidota.